UGUAAUACCAUAGAUUAUUAAUUACCUAGAUGUCUCACUUUGGGAUUUUUCCAUACAUCAAGUUGGCGACACCCCUUUAGCGCUCCGAGCGCCACCACAGUCGAGUUACAGUGUCACGAUAUUCCACACGCGCUUUCACAAUUUGCUUUUCCGUCGUCGAUUAAUCGCGAAAAAACAGGAAUAUGGCAGGCCAAUGCCAACAGCGCAGGUGGCGGCAGCGGUAGCAGAAGUGGCGAAUCCAGGAGAUACCAAGCAGCAGACCAAAACAAAGGAACAAGAAGAGUUGAUCCACCUCAAGCCGAUCAUGGACAGUGCCCCCUCGGUGACCGUUGCAGUUUUGUACCGCCCGUACAGGUUGAAACGUAACGUGUUCAGACGUCACCGGGUAAUCGACGGUGAGCGCAUUUAGCAAAAUUCUGAUCUUCGAAAAGAUGAACGAAGAUAAGAAAAAAACUUCAAAGCUUCCGGCAGAACGCAAGCAUGAAUCUGACUAGCAUCAAGGCGAAUCCAGCUAUAAUUUCGCACAGUUUUGCCGUACGUGUU
Culex pipiens pallens (northern house mosquito) is the source of this 543-nucleotide long non-coding RNA. RefSeq lists it as uncharacterized. The record is from RefSeq and is a predicted model, not a curated record. NCBI's taxonomy places the organism in Eukaryota, Metazoa, Arthropoda, Insecta, Diptera, Culicidae. The transcript is spliced from 3 exons.